UGAGGAAUAUUGGUCAAUGGGCGGGAGCCUGAACCAGCCAAGCCGCGUGAGGGAAGAAGGCCCUAUGGGUCGUAAACCUCUUUUGUCAGGGAACAAAAGCGAGUAUGUAUACUAGUCUGAGUGUACCUGAAGAAAAAGCAUCGGCUAACUCCGUGCCAGCAGUCGCGGUAAUACGGAGGAUGCGAGCGUUAUCCGGAUUUAUUGGGUUUAAAGGGUGCGUAGGCGGCGGUGCAAGUCAGCGGUAAAAGCCCGGGGCUCAACCCCGGCGAGCCGUUGAAACUGCAGUGCUAGAGAAGGCGAGAGGUACGCGGAAUGCGCAGUGUAGCGGUGAAAUGCUUAGAUAUUGCGCAGAACUCCGAUUGCGAAGGCUAGCGUACUGGCGCCUGACUGACGCUGAGGCACGAAAGCGUGGGGAUCGAACAGGAUUAGAUACC
Molecule: ribosomal RNA, 434 nt
Filed under: uncultured bacterium
Lineage: Bacteria
Description: bacterial SSU rRNA
Rfam family: Bacterial small subunit ribosomal RNA
Source: RNAcentral